This 408-nucleotide ribosomal RNA is filed under the name uncultured bacterium. RNAcentral's name for it is "partial 16S ribosomal RNA". It matches the Rfam family "Bacterial small subunit ribosomal RNA", at positions 29 to 526 of the family's 1533-position model. The record is from RNAcentral.
AGUGAACGCUGGCGGCGUGCCUAAUACAUGCAAGUCGAACGGAGUGGCGCACGGGUGAGUAAUAUAUAGCUAAUCUGCCCCUUGCUGGAGGACAACAGUUAGAAAUGACUGCUAAUACUCCAUAGCAAGGGAUGAGACUAUAUCGUAUCAGCUAGUCGGUGGGGUAACGACCUACCGAGGCUAUGACGUGUAACUGGUCUGAGAGGAUGAUCAGUGACAUUGGAACUGAGACACGGUACAAACUCCUACGGGAGGGAGCAGUAGGGAAUAUUGCGACAGGGGGGAAACCCUGACGCAGCAACGCCGCGUGGAGGAUGAUACUUUGCGGAGCGUAAACUCCUUUUGGUAGGGAAGCGGUACCUAACGAAUAAGCAACGGCUAACUCCGUGCCAGCCGCCGCGGUAAUUC